This 468-nucleotide ribosomal RNA is filed under the name uncultured bacterium. Its description in RNAcentral is "partial 16S ribosomal RNA". It matches the Rfam family "Bacterial small subunit ribosomal RNA", at positions 28 to 507 of the family's 1533-position model. The record is from RNAcentral.
GAUGAACGCUGGCGGCGUGCUUAACACAUGCAAGUCGAACGGAAAGGCCCUGCUUUUGUGGGGUGCUCGAGUGGCGAACGGGUGAGUAACACGUGAGUAACCUGCACUUGACUUUGGGAUAACUUCAGGAAACUGGGGCUCAUACCGGAUAGGAGCUCCUGCUGCAUGGUGGGGGUUGGAAAGUUUCGGCGGUUGGGGAUGGACUCGCGGCUUAUCAGCUUGUUGGUGGGGUAGUGGCUUACCAAGGCUUUGACGGGUAGCCGGCCUGAGAGGGUGACCGGCGACAUGGGGACUGAGAGACGGCCCAGACGCCUACGGGAGGCAGCAGUGGGGAAUAUUGCAGAAUGGGCGGAAGCCAGAUACAGCAACGCCGCGUUCGGGAUGACGGCCUUCGGGGUGUAAACCGCUUUCGCCUGUGACGAAGCGGGAGUGACGGUAAUUGGUAAAGAAGCACCGGCUAACUACGUG